UUAAGAUAGUAAGAGCAUACGGUGGAUGCCUUGGCGAUAUCUGCCGAUGAAGGACGCGACAAGCUGCGAAAAGCUGCGGUGAGGUGCAAAUGACCUUUGACCCGCAGAUGUCCGAAUGGAGCAAUCCGGCUGUGGUUAUGCACAGUCACCCAUGCCUAUGAGUAUGGGAGGGAACCAGGCGAACUGAAACAUCUAAGUAGCCUGAGGAGAAGUAAUCAAACGAGAUACCCCCAGUAGCGGCGAGCGAACGGGGCAGAAGCCCAAACCGCAGAAGGAAACUUUUACGGGGUUGAGGGCCGUCAUACGAACGUGGAAUCCAGCUGAAGCUUCUGGGAAGGAGCGCCGCAGGAUGUGAAAGCCAUGUAAGCGAAAGAGGAAGCGGAACAGACGGUACCAGAGUACCGCGGGACACGAGAAACCCCGUGGGAAGCAGGGGGGACCACCCUCCAAGGCAAAACACAGAUAUCGACCGAUAGCGCAUAGUACCAUGAGGGAAAGGUGAAAAGCACCCCGGGAGGGGAAUGAAACAGAACCUGAAACCGUAUGUUUACAAGCAGUCGGAGACCGUAUAUAUAUCAGGUCGACGGCGUGCCUAUUGAAGAAUGAACCGGCGAGUUAUGAGGUCCAGCGAGGUUAAGCAGGAAAUGCGGAGCCGAAGCGAAAGCGAGUCUUAACAGGGCGAAUAGUUGGACUGCAUAGACCCGAAACCACAGUGAUCUACCCAUGUCCAGGUUGAAGCACAGGUAAAAAUGUGUGGAGGACCGAACCUAUAUCCGUUGAAAAGGGUUAGGAUGAGGUGUGGGUAGGGGUGAAAUUCCAAUCGAACGUGGAGAUAGCUGGUUCUCCCCGAAAUAGCUUUAGGGCUAGCCUCAGGGUAAAGAUUGCAGGCGGUAGAGCACUGAUCAGGAGAGGGACCUACCCGGUUACCAAACCCAGUCAAACUACGAAUGGCUGCAAUUAUACCUGGGAGUCAGACUACGACUUAUAAGGGCCGUGGUCAAAAGGGAAACAGCCCAGAUCAUCAGCUAAGGUCCCAAAUGCCGUGCUAAGUGGCGAAGGAUGUGGCGUUUCAUAAACAACCAGGAUGUUGGCUCAGAAGCAGCCACCAUUUAAAGAGUGCGUAAUAGCUCACUGGUCGAGAGACGCUGCGCCGAAAAUGUCCGGGGCUCAAGCACGGAACCGAAGCUAUGGCAUUGCGUAAGCAAUGGGUAGGGGAGCGUUCUUAUGGGGAAGAAGCAUUACCGUAAGGAGAUGUGGACACAUAAGAAGUGAGAAUGCCGGUAUGAGUAUCGAAAAGAAAGGUGAGAAUCCUUUCCACCGAAAGCCCGAGGGUUCCUGAGCAACGAUCGUCGUCUCAGGGUAAGUCGGGACCUAAGCCGAGGCACAGACGCAUAGGCGAUGGACAACAGGUUGAAAUUCCUGUACCGGAUGGAGUCAUUUGAGCAAUGGAGUGACGCAGGAGGGCACAUGAUCGCGCGACUGGAAGAGCGCGUCCAAGUGCGUAUGUUGAAUCGGAGGCAAAUCCCCGAUUCUGAAAGCAGAGACAUGAUGGGGAGUUAUAAGCGAUUAUGACGAACUCAUGGAUCCCACACUGCCAAGAAAAACUUCUAGCGAGACGAAAUCCGCCCGUACCGUAAACCGACACAGGUAGGCGGGGAGAGAAUCCUAAGGUGCGCGGGAAAACCCUCGUUAAGGAACUCGGCAAAUUGCAUCCGUAACUUCGGGAGAAGGAUGGCCCUGAGUAGGCGAAGUGCAGAAACGCACGGAACAGAAAAGGGUGGCAGAAAAGAGGCCCAAGCAACUGUUUACCAAAAACACAGGUGCCUGCGAAAGCGAAAGCUGAAGUAUAGGUGCUGACGCCUGCCCGGUGCUGGAAGGUUAAGGAGAGAGGUUAGCGCAAGCGAAGCUUUGAACUGAAGCCCCAGUGAACGGCGGCCGUAACUAUAACGGUCCUAAGGUAGCGAAAUUCCUUGUCGGGU
Molecule: ribosomal RNA, 1979 nt
Filed under: human gut metagenome
Description: bacterial LSU rRNA
Rfam family: Bacterial large subunit ribosomal RNA
Source: RNAcentral